Molecule: RNase P RNA, 315 nt
Filed under: Bacteroides fluxus YIT 12057
Lineage: Bacteria; Pseudomonadati; Bacteroidota; Bacteroidia; Bacteroidales; Bacteroidaceae
Description: RNA component of RNase P
Rfam family: Bacterial RNase P class A
About the family: Ribonuclease P (RNase P) is a ubiquitous endoribonuclease, found in archaea, bacteria and eukarya as well as chloroplasts and mitochondria.
Source: RNAcentral
GAGGAAAGUCCGGGCAACAUAGAGCAUCCUACUUCCUAACAGAAAGCUGUCCGCGAGGGUAGAGUAACGCAGAAGAAAAUAACCGCCAUAGCCUCCGGGUUACGGUAAGGGUGAGAAGGUGGGGUAAGAGCCCACCAGUCUUGUGGCGACACAAGGGCUGUGUGUCUUGGGAGUUGUAAGGUCAUGUAAACCGACGUUAUGAGAGCUGCUCGCUCCAUGUCGGAGGGUGGACCGCUAAAGCCUGUAUGGUGACAUGCGGCUCAGAUAAAUGACAGACGCCUUGAUGAACGAAAAAUUAAGAAUGAAUAAUGAAAA